UGCAAUUGUGAGGCUGAAUACAUUUUAAAAUAUUACCUUUUCUUAUUUAAUUGAAUGUUGUGGUUACUGUUUCACGGUCAAUACCACAGAAUUGAUUGUACAGGCUGUACCUGUAUAUGAUUUGAAAAUGUAAACCUUCACCUUGAGAGAAAAAAACUAUGAAAACAAAUUCAGGUAAUGUGCAGCAGCUGAUACGAGGUCUCUGCACUUCAGAAGCACCAACCUGCAGAGCUGCCUGGGGGAGGAGGAGGAAGAAUCUCAUUUCUCUGCCUGUACCACCGCUGGGAUUAAAGGAAAUAUACAUUAUUCUGAGUCAUUGCAUUUCCCAAGAAUAGAUCUAAGAGCUGCAAUAGUCCACAACAGAGAUCAGCAAGAAGGAUAGGAAAACCAAAGAUGGCAUACAGGUAUUCUAUCAUGCUGUGUGGUCUAGAAGUUGAUCAAACAUCAUAGAAUAGAGAUCUGUAAAAGGCAACACCUCCCUGCCUCUGUUUAAAUUUAAAGUGCACUG
Long non-coding RNA from Passer domesticus (house sparrow), 508 nucleotides. RefSeq lists it as uncharacterized. NCBI's taxonomy places the organism in Eukaryota, Metazoa, Chordata, Aves, Passeriformes, Passeridae. The transcript has 3 exons. The record is from RefSeq and is a predicted model, not a curated record.